UACGUAGGGUCCGAGCGUUGUCCGGAAUUACUGGGCGUAAAGAGCUCGUAGGUGGUUUGUCGCGUUGUUCGUGAAAACUCACAGCUCAACUGUGGGCGUGCGGGCGAUACGGGCAGACUAGAGUACUGCAGGGGAGACUGGAAUUCCUGGUGUAGCGGUGGAAUGCGCAGAUAUCAGGAGGAACACCGGUGGCGAAGGCGGGUCUCUGGGCCGUAACUGACGCUGAGGAGCGAAAGCGUGGGUAGCAAACGGG
This 253-nucleotide ribosomal RNA is filed under the name uncultured bacterium. RNAcentral describes it as "partial 16S ribosomal RNA". It matches the Rfam family "Bacterial small subunit ribosomal RNA", at positions 524 to 776 of the family's 1533-position model. The record is from RNAcentral.